This is a long non-coding RNA of Pongo pygmaeus (Bornean orangutan), 1509 nucleotides long. RefSeq lists it as uncharacterized. The transcript has 4 exons. Lineage: Eukaryota; Metazoa; Chordata; Mammalia; Primates; Hominidae. The record is from RefSeq and is a predicted model, not a curated record.
AGCCAGUUAUUUAAUCAGUCAUGACUGUGUAAUAAAUCCCCAAUGAGAGCCCUAGACAUUGAAGCUUUGUGGAGACUCCUGGUUGUUGAACACAUUGAUGUACCAGAAGAACAACAUGUCCUGAUUCCACAGGGAGAAGGCAAGAAGCUUUGCCUUUAGGACUUUCCCAGACUUUGCCCUGUGUGUCUUCAUUUGGCAGCUUAUAAAGUUGAUUCACUGACUGCUGGUUUGAAAUGGUGUCUGCUAACAGUCGCUGGUACAGCUUCUCUGUAAUGUGAGGUAAAAUACCUAUAAAAGCUUAGAAGAAGAUGUAAACUCAAAACACAUCCAUAAACUUGGACUGACAAUUCCCUGAAGACUGGAUCUGGGAGGACUUUUUGCCAACAGUAAUGCCAAUGAAACUUAAAAGAAGAGAACAUUCUAUGGGUGUGGGUGUGAUACUGAGGAAAUGCUCUGUAGGCAAGAGAAAUCCAGGAAGAAGUUGGACAGAAUUCUAUUUUAGUCUACCAGAGCCGUGGUUAGUAAAGCCUGCUGGAAUGUGGAGCUGAUCUAGGAGCUGUGGGCAUUCAGCUGGACAAUGGUUCUUUCAACUGCUCCUUAUGUGAAGAAUUUCUCCAGGAUUCAUCAUUCCAUCUGGAUCUGUAUAAAUAAAGCUGAAGUUCUGGUCAUGACCGCUCCCUAGAUCACUCCUGCCCCUGUGUUCCUGGAGCCUCAGAGUUUUGUGUCACAUGAGCUCCCAAGCUCUUCCUUUCUCGUUCAUCUGCUUGGGUUCAUUCUUGUUGAUACUCACUAUAAGGAAAGCACCUCAUCCUGCUACAGCUGGGUACAGAACUCUGAUGUCUUCGUAAAAGUUGCUGCCUCUUGGGAGCUGUGAGUAUUGGGAGCAGCCGGCAUGGCACAUUUGCUGCUACCUCAGGUCAUGAGAGCAUGCUAAGCUCCACGUGAAGGCCUCACCUUCCCACACUAUCUCCACUGAGCACUGAAGUGAUGAUGUUGUGUCCCUGUGUCUCAGGGGUAAAUGGAGGCAGCCUUUUUCUUUUCAGGACUGACACAAAAAGUCAAUGGGGCUUGGGGAUGAAUAACAACAAAGGACAGGCCCUCUUGCAGGAGGUCAGUCCCUCCUGCCCCUGCCCUCAAAUGCAUAUGCAAAAUUAUUUUCCUUGUUCUGUGCAUGAGGUCACUCACUGUCUAUGGUCCCAUUGAUAUGGUUUGUCUAGGGACUGACCCAAAUCUCAUCUUGAAUUGUAAUAAUCCCCAUAUGUCAAGGGUGGGGCCAGGUGGAGAUAAUGGAAUCAUAGGAGGUGGCUUCCCCCAUGCUGUUCUCAUGAUAGUGAAAAAGUCUCAGACUAAUACACUCAACCACCUGCUCAAACAUAUCUGACCCAGUCUGAACUCAAGGUAGGACCCCCCAAUACACAUGAAAAGCUUUGUAGGCCUUGUCACCUUCACAUUACCUUACCUUGACUCUGAACCAGGAAUUAAUUACCAUGAAAUAAAGGAUGAUGCAAA